This 2386-nucleotide long non-coding RNA is filed under the name Mytilus galloprovincialis (Mediterranean mussel). The record is from RNAcentral. Lineage: Eukaryota; Metazoa; Mollusca; Bivalvia; Mytilida; Mytilidae.
CACAGUUUAUUUGUUUAUUACUUAAUGUACAUUAUAAAACUUGCACAUUUAGUUUUUUAUAUAACAAUAUUCAAUUGGUCAUGACACAAUUUAAUAAAAAGCAAUUAGGUUUAAAGAUAUAUAAUAUAAAUCUGAAAACUAAAUAAACCUAAAUAAAAUUACAGUGAAAAGUAUAUAUCUCAGAUGGGAAGAAAUAAUGCUGCAAGUACACUAAAAAUUCAAAUAUAUACAAAUAUGGUUGUUAUAUUAUUUUAUUGACAAACAAAAAUGAGGGCAAUGUAAUUGCAAAGACAUGCAAAGGUCAGUUCUACGUGCAUUUUCAAGACUAUUUCAUAAUUUGUGUUUACAUUCUACAUUAUUACUAAACUUCAAAAUAACAGCAGAAGCACCAUGAGUGUAUUAAACAAAUUAUAAUUUAAUGAAUUUAUGUUCAUUACUAGAAAGCAAAAUGUAAUUUGCAUAAAUGUCAUUUUUUCAAUUGCUGCUGUGACCUUAAAAUCAAAAGGGUCUUAUUCAUCUCAAGGCAUGUUAUACCAAAGUUUGGUAAGACAUAAAAGGAUUUUCCAGAUUUUAUAGGAUCUUUGAAGAUGACCUUCAAAACCCUGAAAUCAAUAAGGUUCAUGUUCAUUCUAAAAGAUAUUUUCAAACAAACAUUUGAUGAAUGUUUAACAUGGGUUCACAAUAGACGAGUUUUCAAUUUCACUUUUAAAAGUAUAGGUCCUGAUGAGUAACACAUUGCAGGACAAUGUGACAUAAACAUAUUUUCUGCUGUGUGAUGUAAAUUUUUUCCAGGGAAAAACACCAGUUGGAAGAGAAUAAGUAUAUAUCCAUAUAUAUUCCUUAAAAAAAUUGACUAAUUAUUCUUUUGAUUUCAUGCUCCUUUUCUAUAUUACAUCAAUAAUUAUUUUUGUAACAUUACAUUUAGAUGUAAUUAAAUACACAUGUGACAAACUGUAUCACACUAUCCAUAACACAUCAAAUUGUUUUAUAUUCAAAUACACAAAAACUCCAUCACACUAUCUUUGACACAGUACAGUACUAAUCAUCAUUUUUACCAUGUAUUCAUGUUUGAAUGUUUUUUUAAAUACUAUUCUUAUAUUUAAAAGCUGCAAUGUUGAGUUGAAAAGAACUGGUGUCCAAAAUGUUCAUCCUAUUCAUUCCUUUUUUAAAUAAUAAAAAAACAACAUAAUAAUGUGAUAUGUAUAUAAACCCUGCUUUGUACGAGACUGACAGGCUUGGACAGCUUUCUAAAAAUACCUAGUUCACAAAGUAACAGUCCACAGACUACCACCCUUUGCUUGAACAAUGGAUGGGGUUCUAACCCAUCAACUUCUGUUCUGGAGAUGAGCAAGUUACCACAAGAUUACAGAUACAGUUUGAUGACCUACUGACUGGUCAACUGUGUCAACUAACAUGCAUAAAGACUAUUCGACCACUGUGUCUGAUAACAUGCAGAAAAAUAAGUGUAUAAAUUAACAAAAACAUCAACAAACAAUUUAAACAAAGAUAUAAACAAACACAUAUACAUGUAUGAUAUUAUUAUAUUUCAUAUAAUAUCUACUAAACGGACACUUCAGCAGAUUAGUUUAGAGGCAAACAUAAUUAAAACAAUAAUCUUGUAAAAAAGAACAUUUUACUAGGACUAUAACAUCGAAAGAAAUAAAAUGCAGAGGCUCUAUUAUCUUUUUGGAAAGAAUUUAUAUGAAGUAGAUCAAAUCUCAAGAAUUAAUAUUCAAUUUUGAAUCAUGAUAAGAACAUAUGAUGGAUUCAUCAUUGGUGUUGAAUGCCAUUUUCACCACUGUUGGUUAUAUCAUGGCAUCAAGCUUGAUGUUGAAGAAGCCAGAGAGCCUGGAAUGAACCAAACACUUCAGUAGGAAAACUGACAAUCCUAGUCAAUUACGAUAGCAUUUGAAUGUGUCUAAUUAAGAAGAGUAUGAAUGCAUAAACUCAGUGUUGACAGGCUAGUGUCUACUGUAGACCACUCAGUCACCUAAAUAUACAAAUUCCUAUUUGUCUGGAAUAAAAUUUCUAGGUAUUACUUUUUUUAGUCCUAUUCUUAAAUUGAGGUAACACAAGAAAAUUACAAUCAAUCUGUUUAAGACAGAAAAAAACAUUAUGUAAUGUUUUUAUAACUGACUAGUUUCAUUACUCCAUUUUGAAGACCCAUUCUUCCUCUAAAUAGAAGAGUAAAAUAUCAAAUAUACUGUGGAUUCAUUUAUUUUCGUAGAUACCAAUUUUUGUGGAUUAAGAAAACAUUGUAUUUUCAUGGAUAUUUGAUUUCAUGGUUUUGCCAAAGUCUGCAUAAUAGAAAAAAAUGUACUUGGUUGAUGUUUUAAAGCCACAUAAUUUGGUAACCCACAAACUAUAACGACUACACAGUGUACUG